Molecule: unclassified non-coding RNA, 210 nt
Filed under: fungal sp.
Lineage: Eukaryota; Fungi
Description: partial internal transcribed spacer region
Rfam family: Eukaryotic small subunit ribosomal RNA (bases 1-46)
Source: RNAcentral
AAGUCGUAACAAGGUUUCCGUAGGUGAACCUGCGGAAGGAUCAUUAAUGAAUUUGGGCUUAAAUGCUCCGGGUUUCUGCUCGGUAUCCGUCUGAUUUCAAAAAGACGAAAGACUUUUUUUUUUCAGUCACUUUAAUUUUGACGCUGUUAACUCAGCUGAUAAAGAUUACAAACCAAAUAAAACUUUCAACAACGGAUCUCUUGGCUAGCC